This 90-nucleotide transfer-messenger RNA is filed under the name Nitrosomonadales bacterium SCN 54-20. RNAcentral describes it as "partial transfer-messenger RNA". It matches the Rfam family "transfer-messenger RNA", at positions 1 to 91 of the family's 374-position model. From Rfam's summary of the family: Bacterial tmRNA, also known as 10Sa RNA or SsrA, is named for its dual tRNA and mRNA-like properties. Its role is to liberate the mRNA from a stalled ribosome. Lineage: Bacteria; Pseudomonadati; Pseudomonadota; Betaproteobacteria; Nitrosomonadales. The record is from RNAcentral.
GGGGGCGACCUGGCUUCGACGUGGGUUGCAAAGCAGAGCAGGGCAUACCGAGGACCAGUUACCUCGUAAAUACAUCUGGAAACCAAUAGU